GAAAUGCGAUAAUUAAUGUGAAUUGCAGAAUUCAGUGAAUCAUCGAGUCUUUGAACGCACAUUGCGCCCCCUGGUAUUCCGGGGGGCAUGCCUGUCCGAGCGUCAUUGCUGCCCUCAAGCACGGCUUGUGUGUUGGGCUUCCGUCCCUGGCAACGGGGACGGGCCCAAAAGGCAGUGGCGGCACCAUGUCUGGUCCUCGAGCGUAUGGGGCUUUGUCACCCGCUCCCGUAGGUCCAGCUGGUAGCUAGCCUCGCAACCAAUCUUUUUAACCAGGUUGACCUCGGAUCAGGGAGGGAUACCCGCUGAACUCAAGC
RNAcentral lists this unclassified non-coding RNA (314 nucleotides) under plant metagenome. RNAcentral describes it as "partial contains 5.8S ribosomal RNA, internal transcribed spacer 2, and large subunit ribosomal RNA". The stretch from base 1 to 105 matches the Rfam family "5.8S ribosomal RNA", at positions 50 to 154 of the family's 154-position model. The record is from RNAcentral.